RNAcentral lists this ribosomal RNA (671 nucleotides) under Salmonella enterica subsp. enterica. RNAcentral's name for it is "partial 23S ribosomal RNA". It matches the Rfam family "Bacterial large subunit ribosomal RNA", at positions 578 to 1224 of the family's 2925-position model. The record is from RNAcentral. Lineage: Bacteria; Pseudomonadati; Pseudomonadota; Gammaproteobacteria; Enterobacterales; Enterobacteriaceae.
AGCACAGGUUUACCUGUGUGACUGCGUACCUUUUGUAUAAUGGGUCAGCGACUUAUAUUCUGUAGCAAGGUUAACCGUAUAGGGGAGCCGUAGGGAAACCGAGUCUUAACCGGGCGUUAAGUUGCAGGGUAUAGACCCGAAACCCGGUGAUCUAGCCAUGGGCAGGUUGAAGGUUGGGUAACACUAACUGGAGGACCGAACCGACUAAUGUUGAAAAAUUAGCGGAUGACCUGUGGCUGGGGGUGAAAGGCCAAUCAAACCGGGAGAUAGCUGGUUCUCCCCGAAAGCUAUUUAGGUAGCGCCUCGUGAAUUCAUCUCCGGGGGUAGAGCACUGUUUCGGCUAGGGGGCCAUCCCGGCUUACCAACCCGAUGCAAACUGCGAAUACCGGAGAAUGUUAUCACGGGAGACACACGGCGGGUGCUAACGUCCGUCGUGAAGAGGGAAACAACCCAGACCGCCAGCUAAGGUCCCAAAGUCAUGGUUAAGUGGGAAACGAUGUGGGAAGGCCCAGACAGCCAGGAUGUUGGCUUAGAAGCAGCCAUCAUUUAAAGAAAGCGUAAUAGCUCACUGGUCGAGUCGGCCUGCGCGGAAGAUGUAACGGGGCUAAACCAUGCACCGAAGCUGCGGCAGCGAACGUAUCACUUAAAGCGAUUCAGCGGGUUACGAUUGA